AAGCUAUGUUGUGUGGUAGGUACAUAGAUUACUCUUGCCAUGUUUUUAAAAGCAUCGAACUCAAGCUGGGAAUUGGGACAAAAGAGAGCACAAGCAGGGAGUACAGCAGGCAGAGGAAGAGGGAGAAGGAGGCUCCCUGCUCCCAGAACUCUGAGAUCAUCACUGGAGCUGAAGGCAGACUCUUGA
This 186-nucleotide long non-coding RNA is filed under the name Mustela putorius furo (domestic ferret). RNAcentral describes it as "lncRNA (ENSMPUG00000031516.1)". Lineage: Eukaryota; Metazoa; Chordata; Mammalia; Carnivora; Mustelidae. The record is from RNAcentral.